Molecule: transfer RNA, 76 nt
Filed under: Candidatus Saccharimonadota bacterium
Lineage: Bacteria; Candidatus Saccharimonadota
Also listed under: 2 other names
Description: tRNA-Glu
Rfam family: tRNA
About the family: Transfer RNA (tRNA) molecules are approximately 80 nucleotides in length. Their secondary structure includes four short double-helical elements and three loops (D, anti-codon, and T loops). Further hydrogen bonds mediate the characteristic L-shaped molecular structure. tRNAs have two regions of fundamental functional importance: the anti-codon, which is responsible for specific mRNA codon recognition, and the 3' end, to which the tRNAs corresponding amino acid is attached (by aminoacyl-tRNA synthetases). tRNAs cope with the degeneracy of the genetic code in two manners: having more than one tRNA (with a specific anti-codon) for a particular amino acid; and 'wobble' base-pairing, i.e. permitting non-standard base-pairing at the 3rd anti-codon position.
Source: RNAcentral
GGCCCCAUCGUCUAGUGGCCUAGGACACCAGGUUUUCAUCCUGGCAACACGGGUUCGAUUCCCGUUGGGGUCACCA